Molecule: ribosomal RNA, 443 nt
Filed under: uncultured bacterium
Lineage: Bacteria
Description: partial 16S ribosomal RNA
Rfam family: Bacterial small subunit ribosomal RNA
Source: RNAcentral
CCUACGGGUGGCAGCAGUGGGGGAUAUUGGACAAUGGUGGAAACCCUGAUCCAGCGACGCCGCGUGAGUGAAGAAGUAUUUCGGUAUGUAAAGCUCUAUCAGCAGGGAAGAAAGUAAUGACGGUAACUGAGUAAGAAGCUCCGGCUAACUACGUGCCAGCAGCCGCGGAAAUACGUAGGGGGCAAGCGUUAGCCGGAAUGACUGGGUGUAAAGGGGGCGUAGACGGUGAUGCAAGACUGUAGUGAAAGGCGAGGGCCCAAUCCCCGGACUGCUAUGGAAACUAUAUAACUGGAGUGCAAGAGAGGCAGGCAGAAUGCCUGGUGUAGCGGUGAAAUGCGUAGAUAUUAGGAGGAACACCGGUAGCGAAGGCGGCCAUCUGGACUGAAACUGACGUUGAGGCUCGAAAGCGUGGGGAGCAAACAGGAUUAGAUACCCUGGUAGUC